RNAcentral lists this ribosomal RNA (169 nucleotides) under Salanx chinensis. RNAcentral describes it as "partial 12S rRNA". Lineage: Eukaryota; Metazoa; Chordata; Actinopteri; Osmeriformes; Salangidae. The record is from RNAcentral.
CACCGCGGUUAUACGAGUGGCCCAAGUUGAACGUCGCCGGCGUAAAGAGUGGUUAGGGGGAAUAAUAAACUAAAGCCGAACACCCUCCAGGCCGUUAUACGCUUCCGAGGACACGAAGCCCCACCACGAAAGUGGCUUUAACUCACCUGAACCCACGACAGCCAGGGUA